AACGAACGCUGGCGGCAGGCCUAACACAUGCAAGUCGAGCGCGCCCUUCGGGGUGAGCGGCGGACGGGUGAGUAACGCGUGGGAACGUGCCCUUCUCUGCGGAAUAGCCUCGGGAAACUGAGAGUAAUACCGCAUACGCCCUUUGGGGGAAAGAUUUGUCGGAGAAGGAUCGGCCCGCGUUGGAUUAGGUAGUUGGUGGGGUAAUGGCCCACCAAGCCGACGAUCCAUAGCUGGUUUGAGAGGAUGAUCAGCCACACUGGGACUGAGACACGGCCCAGCCUCCUACGGGAGGCAGCAGUGGGGAAUCUUAGACAAUGGGGGCAACCCUGAUCUAGCCAUGCCGCGUGAGUGAUGAAGGCCUUAGGGUUGUAAAGCUCUUUCAGCUGGGAAGAUAAUGACGGUACCAGCAGAAGAAGCCCCGGCUAACUCCGUG
Molecule: ribosomal RNA, 433 nt
Filed under: uncultured bacterium
Lineage: Bacteria
Description: partial 16S ribosomal RNA
Rfam family: Bacterial small subunit ribosomal RNA
Source: RNAcentral